GGUAGCUCAGUUGGUUAAGCGUCUGACUCUUGACUUUGGCUCAGAUCAUGAUAUCAUUGUCAUGGGAUCAAACCCUGUGUUGGGCUCCACAAUGAGUGUGGGCCCUGAUUGGGGCUCUCUAUCCCUCUCCCACCCCUCCUCCUGCUCUCUCUUGCUCUCUCUAAAUAAAUAAACAUUGAAAGAAUAAAUAAAAACCUUUUUUUUGAAGUAUAGGAUUCAUCCCCCCAAAAUAUGCCAAUCAGAAGUGCACAAUCCUUAAGAAUUUUUCACAAACAGAUCCAAAUAACCAGCAACCAGAUCAAGAGACAACAUUACCAGCACUCCAGAAGCAACUUUUUAGGCCCUGCGCCAGCCUCUGCCUCCUCCCCCCUCCCCAAAGGGAUGUAUCUAUAGAAGAAUUCCUAAAAGAAAAAUUGCUGAAGGAAUUUGCAUUUUAAAUUGUGGUUGAUACUGCCAAGAACCCAAGAAUCCAAGGUGAGUUCUGUCCAUCUGGUAAGUGAGAGCAGUAUUUCAUUGUAAUUUCAGUUUGCACUUCUCUUAUUAUAAGCGAUGCACCUUUUCGUAUGCUCUUAGCCAUUUUGAUCUUUACUCUGAACCGUUUGUCAUAGACUUUUUUACUAAGUUGUUGGUCCCUUGUUACUAAUUUGUAAGUGUUCAUUUUAUAUAAAGGAAAUUAUUCUUUUGUGGUA
Long non-coding RNA from Herpailurus yagouaroundi (jaguarundi), 689 nucleotides. RefSeq lists it as uncharacterized. Lineage: Eukaryota; Metazoa; Chordata; Mammalia; Carnivora; Felidae. The transcript is spliced from 2 exons. The record is from RefSeq and is a predicted model, not a curated record.